CAGAACCCGGGUCACAGUUUUGAGAAGACAGCCUCACAGAAGACUGCGUGUGCUAUGCAGCUGGGCUAUACUGGGUUCUCCAUCUGCACUUGGGCCCAACCCAUCCAGAACUGGAGGAAAGGGAGGAAGAAGUUCCUUGUAAUACAGAGUACAGCACUAGGAGAGAGAUGGGUGUGGCUGCGUGUCCUUAUUCCAAUCUAAGCAAUGUGUGCAGAAGUGAAUCGUGCUUCAUUUUGGUGAGAUGGGGCCUUUGGGAC
Molecule: long non-coding RNA, 257 nt
Organism: Prionailurus viverrinus (fishing cat)
Lineage: Eukaryota; Metazoa; Chordata; Mammalia; Carnivora; Felidae
Exons: 3
Source: RefSeq, a predicted model, not a curated record